UGAAAAGAACUUUGRARAGAGAGUCAAAAAGACCGCGAAACCGUUAGGAGGGAAACGAAUGCAGCUGAAUUAGCUCUGGUCAAGUUCAGGGGCGAUGUUGAUUGGUGAUGCCCGACUGCAAGAGCCGAUAGGUUUUGCUGUCAGGAUAGCUGUCAACUCUCCUGCACUCUUGUGCAGAGCUGGCCAACAACAGUUGCCCGUGGCCGAGAAGGGCGGUUGGGAAGGUAGCUACUCUUCGGGGUAGAACUUAUAGCCAUCCGUCUGGUGGUCUGGGGGUGACUGAGGAUAACUGGCAGUGCAGGCCUUUGGCUUGGGCCGCUUCUGGUCGUUUGGGCACCGCGGGGGGGACUGCGUGCAGUGUUCUUUGACGGAUGUCUGCUCGGACGGGAGACUGGUCACACCUUGUGCUGCAGUUGUUGGUGAUCAAAUGGCUGCAUCCGACCCGUCUUGAAACACGGAA
This 460-nucleotide ribosomal RNA is filed under the name Amorphinopsis sp. RUA-2017. RNAcentral's name for it is "eukaryotic LSU rRNA". It matches the Rfam family "Eukaryotic large subunit ribosomal RNA", at positions 365 to 664 of the family's 3401-position model. Lineage: Eukaryota; Metazoa; Porifera; Demospongiae; Suberitida; Halichondriidae. The record is from RNAcentral.